RNAcentral lists this unclassified non-coding RNA (173 nucleotides) under uncultured Glomus. RNAcentral describes it as "sequence contains 18S rRNA gene". It matches the Rfam family "Eukaryotic small subunit ribosomal RNA", at positions 569 to 740 of the family's 1831-position model. Lineage: Eukaryota; Fungi; Glomeromycota; Glomeromycetes; Glomerales; Glomeraceae. The record is from RNAcentral.
AGCAGCCGCGGUAAUUCCAGCUCCAAUAGCGUAUAUUAAAGUUGUUGCAGUUAAAAAGCUCGUAGUUGAAUUUUGGGUCUGGCCGGGCGGUCCGCCCUCUGGGUGAGCACUGUUCCGACGCCGGGCCUAUCCUUCUGGUGAGUCGGCAUGUCCUUUAUUGGGUGUGCCGGGGG